GAAAUGCGAUAAGUAAUGUGAAUUGCAGAAUUCAGUGAAUCAUCGAAUCUUUGAACGCACCUUGCGCUCCUUGGUAUUCCUUGGAGCAUGCCUGUUUGAGUAUCAUGAAAUCUUCAAAGUAAAUCUUUUGUUAACUCAAUUGGUUUCUACUUUGGUAUUGGAGGUCUUUGCAGCUUCACACCUGCUCCUCUUUGUGCAUUAGCUGGAUCUCAGUGUUAUGCUUGGUUCCACUCGGCGUGAUAAGUUAUCUAUCGCUGAGGACACUGUAAAAGGUGGCCAAGGUAAAUGCAGAUGAACCGCUUCUAAUAGUCCAUUGACUUGGACAAUACUUUUAUGAUCUGAUCUCAAAUCAGGUAGGACUACCCGCUGAACUUAAGC
Molecule: unclassified non-coding RNA, 378 nt
Filed under: plant metagenome
Description: partial contains 5.8S ribosomal RNA, internal transcribed spacer 2, and large subunit ribosomal RNA
Rfam family: 5.8S ribosomal RNA (bases 1-105)
Source: RNAcentral